GUGGGUCCAAUGCGGGCCCAGCAACGAAUUUAAUCCGCGGCGAACCAGCGACCGGCCAUCCUUCCUCGUCUCCUCCCCCUUUCUUCGAGAGCUCAGGUGAGUGGGAGCUUGACGAAGGCGACAGGUGCAAUAGCUUGCUCCACGGUGGUGACGGAGUCGUCGGCGUGGUCUGGCGAGGCGAGUGGUACGACGGGAUGCUGGAGCUUGAUGGCUUCGUUGGGUAGGCCGUCUAGGUCAUCGUUUCCGAUUUAGAUCUGGGCUUCAGUCUGGGUGUAACGACAGAUUGCUUUAUUAUCAGCUCGAUAAGGUUUUUUGCGAGAGCUGACAAGAUCUGCUUGGAGCAAGCUGCCGCAUAUGUUGCAGUGAAUAUCAGGUUAAUCCAAUUCCUGGAAGAAGUUUGAGGCUUAACUGCAGCAAACUUCGUAACAUCCAGCUGAUAUGAGUAAACGGUGCCACGAAUUCAGCAAAGCUGGCCCUGAAUGAGAUUACCCUUGUCAAACUUUCAAAUGUAAUACUGUAUAUCAGUUUGGUUAGGAAGUUACAGAAUGUUGUACGAGGAAGUACUCCAGUAGCCUAAUUAUAACUUAGUUACGUGAUCUUCAAUAUAUCUGAUGUUUGUGUAAUUUGAGAACUGCAACUCCUUGGGAGCAAACCUCAAGAAAUCAGCUCUUCGUCCAAGUUUGUUCCUAAGGUCGUGAUCACGUUAUCAGUUAUAAAUGCACCGUGAUGGUUGCCGUUCUGGGCUACUGA
Molecule: long non-coding RNA, 750 nt
Organism: Lolium perenne
Lineage: Eukaryota; Viridiplantae; Streptophyta; Magnoliopsida; Poales; Poaceae
Source: RefSeq, a predicted model, not a curated record